CAUAUACUUCCUCCGUCCGAAAAUAUUUGUCAUCAAAAUGAUUAAAAGAAGAUGUAUCUAGACGUUUUUUAGUUCUAGAUACAACCCUUUUUAUCCAUUUUGAAGACAAGUAUUUUCGGACAGAGGGAGUAUGAG
This is a non-coding RNA of Triticum aestivum (bread wheat), 135 nucleotides long. NCBI's taxonomy places the organism in Eukaryota, Viridiplantae, Streptophyta, Magnoliopsida, Poales, Poaceae. The record is from Rfam.